UGCCCAUUGGCCCAGUGGUUAAGGCGUCUGACUGUUAAGCAUCAGAAAAAUCAGAAGAUCCCUGGUUCGACCCCAGGAUGGGCAG
Non-coding RNA from Hypoxylon sp. CI-4A, 85 nucleotides. The record is from the annotation of a GenBank genome assembly. Lineage: Eukaryota; Fungi; Ascomycota; Sordariomycetes; Xylariales; Hypoxylaceae.